ACCUUCUUUUGUGUAAGCACUGUGCUAAAACUGCAGAAACUAGGAUCACAUCUUGGGUUUUGUAAUGAUGCUAGCAAAGUACAUACAAGAAGAAAAGGAACUGCACUAGAGUAUAAAGACUGGGGUGAGCCUCUCUCUUAGUGUCCAGUGUCCUUUGUCUUAAGGUGUGAUGCGCUGUCU
Small nucleolar RNA from Ailuropoda melanoleuca (giant panda), 180 nucleotides. Ensembl annotates it as small nucleolar RNA SNORA81. Lineage: Eukaryota; Metazoa; Chordata; Mammalia; Carnivora; Ursidae. The record is from Ensembl.